GGGGAAUAUUGGACAAUGGGCGCAAGCCUGAUCCAGCCAUGCCGCGUGAGUGAUGAAGGCCCUAGGGUUGUAAAGCUCUUUCAGUGGGGACGAUAAUGACGGUACCCACAGAAGAAGCCCCGGCUAACUUCGUGCCAGCAGCCGCGGUAAUACGAAGGGGGCUAGCGUUGUUCGGAAUUACUGGGCGUAAAGCGCACGUAGGCGGACAUUUAAGUCAGGGGUGAAAUCCCGGGGCUCAACCCCGGAACUGCCUUUGAUACUGGGUGUCUUGAGUUCGGAAGAGGUGAGUGGAAUUGCGAGUGUAGAGGUGAAAUUCGUAGAUAUUCGCAGGAACACCAGUGGCGAAGGCGGCUCACUGGUCCGAUACUGACGCUGAGGUGCGAAAGCGUGGGGAGCAAAC
RNAcentral lists this ribosomal RNA (400 nucleotides) under uncultured bacterium. Its description in RNAcentral is "bacterial SSU rRNA". It matches the Rfam family "Bacterial small subunit ribosomal RNA", at positions 356 to 773 of the family's 1533-position model. The record is from RNAcentral.